Molecule: ribosomal RNA, 234 nt
Filed under: uncultured bacterium
Lineage: Bacteria
Description: partial 16S ribosomal RNA
Rfam family: Bacterial small subunit ribosomal RNA
Source: RNAcentral
UGAGGAACAUGACCUUCGGCGGGGGAUAGCCGGCCCAACGGCCGGGUAAUACCGCGUACGACCACAUGGGGACAUCCCUGAGUGGUGAAAGCAGCAAUGCGCCGAUGGAAUGCCUCGCGGCCUAUCAGCUAGUUGGUGAGGUAACGGCUCACCAAGGCGACGACGGGUAGCUGGUCUGAGAGGAUGGCCAGCCACAUUGGAACUGAGACACGGCCCAGACCUCUACCGGGGAGG